This 567-nucleotide ribosomal RNA is filed under the name Triticum aestivum (bread wheat). RNAcentral describes it as "partial small subunit ribosomal RNA". Lineage: Eukaryota; Viridiplantae; Streptophyta; Magnoliopsida; Poales; Poaceae. The record is from RNAcentral.
CAGUCCCAUGCUGAUGGCUCGCUUGCAACUGACCAAACCACUGUCAAUGUGGAUGAUGAUAGUGAUGACAGCGAGGAAGUGAGGGAACUUGAGGCCAAUCUAAUUCCAGUUGACAGUGAUGAAGCUGACUCUGACACUAUUAAUCGUCAUAGUCCUAAAGUUGACUUGGAAGGCAAUUCUUUAAACAAGAAGCGCAAGCACGUGUCAUCUUCACCUUCCAAGAAGCCAACUAAGGGGAAAGCAAACAAGAAGGGCAAGAUAUCUAAUGAUGAUAUGGCAGCCAGUAUCAAGAAGCUAGCUGACUCUCUUGCAUCUCCUAUUGUUUCUGUGCAACCAAUGCCACCUACAGAUCCAUAUGCAAACCUUUGGAAGCGGAUAAAUGCCCUUACCAUACCAGCUAAGGAUAAACUUGAGAUUGUAGCAUAUCUAUCCAAGCCAGAUCAAGAUAUCUUUCGUAGUUACCUCAACUAUGCUGAUGAAACAAUUCUUGGACAGUGGGUCCUUAGCUUCUUCGAGCCUCGGUUUCAAGAAGAUGGUGGCAAUGGUGGAUCUGCAACUGCUCACUGA